This 879-nucleotide long non-coding RNA is filed under the name Numida meleagris (helmeted guineafowl). RNAcentral's name for it is "lncRNA (ENSNMEG00000020658.1)". Lineage: Eukaryota; Metazoa; Chordata; Aves; Galliformes; Numididae. The record is from RNAcentral.
CUGAGUUCCACAGUGGGAUGUGAACUCAUAUUGCAGUGACCCUGCAGCCACAGGGCCAUACACUCAUGCCUGCACAAAGUAUUAACUGUGUGCUCUCUGGCCCUGACAUACAAGCUGGGAGGCAAUUCCAGCUCAACUGAAAAAGAUGGGCUACAUACCUGUGAGAAUUUUCCAGGCUUAGGAGGAGCCUGCUCCAGGCUAUUGGGUGAGAACUGUGCAGCAGGGACAAAGAAGACAUUUCCUGUACGACAAGGAGCUGAAGGGCCACACAGAGAAGGUUUGGAUGUUGCUUGAACUGUUCCUGAAGAAAAUUCAGGCACGGAGAGGAAAUGUGAGCAGAUCGGAUAAGGUCAUAAUGUCAAUCAGUGCCAAAGAGAAGGAGGUUACUGACUGAUUAAUGAAUAUGUAUGGAUCCAAAUGGUAAAGGAGCUCCUGACGGGAUCUGAGGCACCUGUUUUUCACUGUUGUAGCAGAAAUGUUAAGUCACAGCCUGAACCAGUGAUUGAGCACCUGGUGGGAAGGCAGGGCCAACCCAGGGGAGCUCAGGUGCAUGCAAUGAACCUGAGUGAGCAGAAGGGGUGCAGGCAGGAUCCGCCCCUUCCCAGACUUCAUUUAAAGGUUGGCAGUGGAGGCAAGGGUAUCUUGCUGAAGAUUGCUGCAUAUCUCAGGUCUUCCUAAGGUAAGCAGUUUUCCUUUCUUUGUUUUUGCUUCCAUAUCUGCUUCAUCUGGGCUUGUUCUCGUUUGCUAUAGACUAGGAUUGUGCUACUCUGCUGUUAUUGCUAUACUUUCCAUCACAUUAUAGCAUUACAAUUGUCACCAGCUGUUAAUUCAACUCCUAUACUGUUGUGUCAUGCUCACACCUCAGUGCUGUAAAAUUAC